RNAcentral lists this transfer RNA (65 nucleotides) under Nomada fabriciana. RNAcentral's name for it is "tRNA-Pro". The record is from RNAcentral. Lineage: Eukaryota; Metazoa; Arthropoda; Insecta; Hymenoptera; Apidae.
CAAAAAGUAGUUUAAAUAAAACAAUAAUUUUGGGAAUUAUAAAUAUUUUAUAAUAAUUUUUUUGA